CCACAUACGUCAGUUUAAGCAUUUCCUCGCUCCUCGGGCCUCAUUUAAAUCAUUGGGGAUCAAAUAUGGCGGCGUGAGGCUGUAGCGAGGUGAAGAAAUGGAAUUGAGCCUAUGAGUCAAAGCGUGAACUCUGAGUUGAUCUACCCCGAGAUGCGGAAACUCUCAGUUUUGGGUUUGACAGCAGCUAGCUCGAGUUAACCCAAUCAACUCUGAGUAGAUAUACUCGGAGUUGAACGCAUGAAGCCCCGAUACUCUGAUUCACCAUGGCAACUAGCCCUAAAAAGAGAUCGGCGUAUUUUACUGCAUCGGAGCUGGAGAUUUUAACACAGUCUUACAGUACGUUUGAACACAUUUUCAAAAGAAAAAGUAACACUGUUGCAGCAGUGAAAGAGAGAGUAGCGGCUUGGCAGAAGAUUGCAGACCGAGUCAAUGCGUGUAAUCCUUCAACGCAAAAACGUACGUGGGCGCAGCUUAAAAUGAAGUAUAAGAACAUCAUUCAAUCAGCCAACAGAAAAAAGGCAGAGGGGAGAAAAAUGAGUGGAGAGCCAGCACUAGCACCAAUGCCAACACCGCCUCUAAAAGAAGAGGAAGAGGAGCUGGUCCUAUGCCAGGGUGCUGGAAGGCCAGUGGUGGAUGGAAUACCUGGGGGGAUUUCAUCACAGCCACUCACCAUUCAAGACACCAGUGCCUUUGUAAAAUGCAGGGCGUUAUAAUGAGUUUAUGAGCGAGGAAGGAACAGUUGGCACCAAAAUUAUUUGAGAUUCUAAUGCUGUAAUCUGCCUUGUGGAGCCCAAUGCUAUGACAGAACUUGUAGCUGAUGGGGACGCUAAAGACACUGUGUCAGCUACUAUAGAGUGGGAUCCUUCACAGGAUGAGAACGUUAAAGACACUGAGUCAGCUCCCAUCGAGUGGGAUCCCUCACAGGAUGAGAACGUUAAAGACAAUGACUCAGCUCCCAUCGAGUGGGAUACUUCACAGGAUGAGAGUGUUCAACACACUGUGUCAGCUACUACGGAGUGGGACCCUGAACCUCCUCCUGCAGAGAGCACGGCUAGACACCAGAAAGACGGUCCAUCAACUUCCACAGCAAAGAUUGACACUUUGCCUGUAAAAGCAGUGUACAAAAUGCAUCUUCUCAAGAAAAUGGAAAAAGCUGACAAAGAAAUGAUGUACUUGGACAUGCAAAUGAAAAAAACAGACCUGGAAAUUGAAAUCCUAAAAUACAAAUUAGAGGAAAUGAAGAAGAACACAGAAAAUGCAAAUAUUUGAAAAUCCCAUUUCCAAAAAACAGAGGGCAACGCAUAGAAUUUGUUCCAGUGUACUGUAUAGGUGGGUGACAUUCGUGAUAUGAAGAACGACAUUGUGAGUACAAUUGAUGGACUGUAAAGAAAAACAGAGGCUCAAAUAAGUAUUGAUCUGGAAAUAAUAUGUAUAAUCAAGGUCUGUAACUCCUCUCAUGGUGUAUAUUCAACUCCCCGCGGAGUGACGCAGCCACCUCAAUGAAAGAACAUGUAAUUUGCUAUUUGUCACACAUGUAGUCCAAUAUCCAAUGUGCCUGGUAUGGACUGAACGAAUGAAUGAGAAAGUAAAGUAGUGUCUGCUCUGUAAGAGGGAGGAGACAUAGAGAAACUCAGGGUUUAUUGUAGAAAACCUGCUCCCAACCAGCUUAGUUUCAUAGAAUUAAGUUUGUUUAGUAAGUUACCAUCCGUGUUGGGAGUGCAACGGGUAAUCUUAUUACUAUGUCAAACAACGCAGCUACCGACAGUGAAAUGUGGCGUGUUAUUGUGCACUGAUGUCUUAACAGCUGUUACCUGGCUCGCUUAGACAGCCACAGGACAGGAGCUGCAAAUAAAAAGUGUUGGGUUUUUUUUUUCCUAAUUGUCCUUCUUUGGUGAGGGGGGGAGUGAUGAUGGACACCUAAGUAAUGAUGAUACAGUACGAUUUCAAUUGGGGUUUUUUGCUUACAAACCUCAAUGUGCCACAAACAGCCACACGGAACUAGACGCAAUCAUGGUGAGUCCGGAGCGGUCUGUUGAGUUAAAAGUGGCAUUUUCAAGAUUGGAAGAACAGCCACUACUCGUUUUGGAGAAGUAGCAUUGCAAAAGGCAAGAACAUACAUGUCAAGUGGAAUAUUAUGUCCAGAGCAAAAUGUUUGCUACCACUGUGAGGAACACUACUCUUAUGAAACAUCUCUCAACGGCACACGCCACGACAGAGCUAAUUCCCAAUUUGAAUGGUCAAUGGAAAUCAAAAUCAUGAACCCAUGGAGGUCUGGAAUCACAAUCAUACUCAAAAUAAAAGUGGAAAAAUCUGAUCACAAGCUGAUCCAACUUCUGUGGAAACGUCUCAAGACAAUUCAAAAUGAGAGAG
Molecule: RNA transcript, 2370 nt
Organism: Dunckerocampus dactyliophorus (ringed pipefish)
Lineage: Eukaryota; Metazoa; Chordata; Actinopteri; Syngnathiformes; Syngnathidae
Exons: 9
Source: RefSeq, a predicted model, not a curated record